RNAcentral lists this ribosomal RNA (1413 nucleotides) under Lactiplantibacillus plantarum. RNAcentral's name for it is "bacterial SSU rRNA". It matches the Rfam family "Bacterial small subunit ribosomal RNA". Lineage: Bacteria; Bacillati; Bacillota; Bacilli; Lactobacillales; Lactobacillaceae. The record is from RNAcentral.
GUCGAACGAACUCUGGUAUUGAUUGGUGCUUGCAUCAUGAUUUACAUUUGAGUGAGUGGCGAACUGGUGAGUAACACGUGGGAAACCUGCCCAGAAGCGGGGGAUAACACCUGGAAACAGAUGCUAAUACCGCAUAACAACUUGGACCGCAUGGUCCGAGCUUGAAAGAUGGCUUCGGCUAUCACUUUUGGAUGGUCCCGCGGCGUAUUAGCUAGAUGGUGGGGUAACGGCUCACCAUGGCAAUGAUACGUAGCCGACCUGAGAGGGUAAUCGGCCACAUUGGGACUGAGACACGGCCCAAACUCCUACGGGAGGCAGCAGUAGGGAAUCUUCCACAAUGGACGAAAGUCUGAUGGAGCAACGCCGCGUGAGUGAAGAAGGGUUUCGGCUCGUAAAACUCUGUUGUUAAAGAAGAACAUAUCUGAGAGUAACUGUUCAGGUAUUGACGGUAUUUAACCAGAAAGCCACGGCUAACUACGUGCCAGCAGCCGCGGUAAUACGUAGGUGGCAAGCGUUGUCCGGAUUUAUUGGGCGUAAAGCGAGCGCAGGCGGUUUUUUAAGUCUGAUGUGAAAGCCUUCGGCUCAACCGAAGAAGUGCAUCGGAAACUGGGAAACUUGAGUGCAGAAGAGGACAGUGGAACUCCAUGUGUAGCGGUGAAAUGCGUAGAUAUAUGGAAGAACACCAGUGGCGAAGGCGGCUGUCUGGUCUGUAACUGACGCUGAGGCUCGAAAGUAUGGGUAGCAAACAGGAUUAGAUACCCUGGUAGUCCAUACCGUAAACGAUGAAUGCUAAGUGUUGGAGGGUUUCCGCCCUUCAGUGCUGCAGCUAACGCAUUAAGCAUUCCGCCUGGGGAGUACGGCCGCAAGGCUGAAACUCAAAGGAAUUGACGGGGGCCCGCACAAGCGGUGGAGCAUGUGGUUUAAUUCGAAGCUACGCGAAGAACCUUACCAGGUCUUGACAUACUAUGCAAAUCUAAGAGAUUAGACGUUCCCUUCGGGGACAUGGAUACAGGUGGUGCAUGGUUGUCGUCAGCUCGUGUCGUGAGAUGUUGGGUUAAGUCCCGCAACGAGCGCAACCCUUAUUAUCAGUUGCCAGCAUUAAGUUGGGCACUCUGGUGAGACUGCCGGUGACAAACCGGAGGAAGGUGGGGAUGACGUCAAAUCAUCAUGCCCCUUAUGACCUGGGCUACACACGUGCUACAAUGGAUGGUACAACGAGUUGCGAACUCGCGAGAGUAAGCUAAUCUCUUAAAGCCAUUCUCAGUUCGGAUUGUAGGCUGCAACUCGCCUACAUGAAGUCGGAAUCGCUAGUAAUCGCGGAUCAGCAUGCCGCGGUGAAUACGUUCCCGGGCCUUGUACACACCGCCCGUCACACCAUGAGAGUUUGUAACACCCAAAGUCGGUGGGGUAACC